GUAGAGAUCUUGUCCGUGAAGUGAGUUGCAAAGUCUGAGGCGGUCAAGUUAGUAGGUGGAGGAGGAACAGCAGGGCGAAGAAGAGAGUUAAAUGUGUGAAAUAGUCAUUUGGGUUCGCAGGAGAGUGUGGUUAUGAGAGUAUUGAAGUAAUUAACUUUUGUAGAGGAAAGAGCCAAGCUGUAUGAGCUCAGCAUAAAUUUAUAGUGGAGAAAGUCAGAUGAACAGUGAGACUUUCUCCAACAGCGUUCAGCAGUUCUGGAGCAUUUUUGGAGGUAUCGAGUGAGCUUGGUGUGCUGAGGGUUGUUGUUGGGGGGGCCUGCAAAUUAUAAAUU
Molecule: non-coding RNA, 332 nt
Organism: Pelobates cultripes (western spadefoot toad)
Lineage: Eukaryota; Metazoa; Chordata; Amphibia; Anura; Pelobatidae
Source: the annotation of a GenBank genome assembly